Molecule: ribosomal RNA, 314 nt
Filed under: uncultured bacterium
Lineage: Bacteria
Description: bacterial SSU rRNA
Rfam family: Bacterial small subunit ribosomal RNA
Source: RNAcentral
GAUGAACGCUAGCGGCAGGCCUAAUACAUGCAAGUCGGACGGGAUUGCAGUAUAGCUUGCUAUACUGCAUGAGAGUGGCGCACGGGUGCGUAACGCGUAAGCAACCUGCCCAUGUCAGGGGGAUAGCCCGUUGAAAGACGGAUUAAUACCGCAUAACACAUAGAGGCCACCUGGUUUUUAUGUCAAAUAUUUAUAGGACAUGGAUGGGCUCGCGUGGCAUUAGUUAGUUGGUAAGGUAACGGCUUACCAAGACGAUGAUGCCUAGGGGCUCUGAGAGGAGUGACCCCCACACUGGUACUGAGACAAGGCCCACG